GAUGAAGAACGCAGUGAAAUGCGAUAACUAGUGUGAAUUGCAGAAUUCCGUGAAUCAUCGAGUCUUUGAACGCACAUUGCGCCCCCUGGUAUUCCGGGGGGCAUGCCUGUCCGAGCGUCAUUGCUGCCCAUCAAGCACGGCUUGUGUGUUGGGUCGUCGUCCCCUCUCCGGGGGGGACGGGCCCCAAAGGCAGCGGCGGCACCGCGUCCGAUCCUCGAGCGUAUGGGGCUUUGUCACCCGCUCUGUAGGCCCGGCCGGCGCUUGCCGAACGCAAAUCAAUCUUUUUCCAGGUUGACCUCGGAUCAGGUAGGGAUACCCGCUGAACUUAAGCAUAUCAAUAAGCGGAGG
RNAcentral lists this unclassified non-coding RNA (348 nucleotides) under soil metagenome. RNAcentral describes it as "partial contains 5.8S ribosomal RNA, internal transcribed spacer 2, and large subunit ribosomal RNA". The stretch from base 1 to 120 matches the Rfam family "5.8S ribosomal RNA", at positions 35 to 154 of the family's 154-position model. The record is from RNAcentral.